This 252-nucleotide ribosomal RNA is filed under the name uncultured Bacteroidales bacterium. RNAcentral describes it as "partial 16S ribosomal RNA". It matches the Rfam family "Bacterial small subunit ribosomal RNA", at positions 524 to 776 of the family's 1533-position model. The record is from RNAcentral. Lineage: Bacteria; Pseudomonadati; Bacteroidota; Bacteroidia; Bacteroidales.
UACGGAGGAUGCGAGCGUUAUCCGGCUUUAUUGGGUUUAAAGGGUGCGCAGGCGGUCUGUUAAGUCAGCGGUCAAAGCCCGGGGCUCAACCCCGGCCCGCCGUUGAAACUGGCUUGCUAGAGUGGGCGAGAAGUAUGCGGAAUGCGUGGUGUAGCGGUGAAAUGCAUAGAUAUCACGCAGAACUCCGAUUGCGAAGGCAGCAUACCGGCGCCCAACUGACGCUCAUGCACGAAAGUGUGGGUAUCGAACAGG